GAAUGCUGACAUAAGUAACGAUAAAGCGGGUGAAAAGCCCGCUCGCCGGAAGACCAAGGGUUCCUGUCCAACGUUAAUCGGGGCAGGGUGAGUCGACCCCUAAGGCGAGGCCGAAAGGCGUAGUCGAUGGGAAACGGGUUAAUAUUCCCGUACUUGGUGUUACUGCGAAGGGGGGACGGAGAAGGCUAUGUUGGCCGGGCGACGGUUGUCCCGGUUUAAGCGUGUAGGUGUGUGUUCCAGGUAAAUCCGGUUCACUUUAACACUGAGGCGU
RNAcentral lists this ribosomal RNA (271 nucleotides) under Salmonella enterica subsp. enterica serovar Waycross. RNAcentral's name for it is "partial 23S ribosomal RNA". It matches the Rfam family "Bacterial large subunit ribosomal RNA", at positions 1292 to 1564 of the family's 2925-position model. Lineage: Bacteria; Pseudomonadati; Pseudomonadota; Gammaproteobacteria; Enterobacterales; Enterobacteriaceae. RNAcentral also lists the same sequence under 2 other names. The record is from RNAcentral.